RNAcentral lists this ribosomal RNA (2362 nucleotides) under Salmonella enterica subsp. enterica serovar Hessarek. RNAcentral's name for it is "partial 23S ribosomal RNA". It matches the Rfam family "Bacterial large subunit ribosomal RNA", at positions 597 to 2925 of the family's 2925-position model. The record is from RNAcentral. Lineage: Bacteria; Pseudomonadati; Pseudomonadota; Gammaproteobacteria; Enterobacterales; Enterobacteriaceae.
CUGCGUACCUUUUGUAUAAUGGGUCAGCGACUUAUAUUCUGUAGCAAGGUUAACCGCAUAGGGGAGCCGGAGGGAAACCGAGUCUUAACCGGGCGUUAAGUUGCAGGGUAUAGACCCGAAACCCGGUGAUCUAGCCAUGGGCAGGUUGAAGGUUGGGUAACACUAACUGGAGGACCGAACCGACUAAUGUUGAAAAAUUAGCGGAUGACCUGUGGCUGGGGGUGAAAGGCCAAUCAAACCGGGAGAUAGCUGGUUCUCCCCGAAAGCUAUUUAGGUAGCGCCUCGUGAAUUCAUCUCCGGGGGUAGAGCACUGUUUCGGCUAGGGGGCCAUCCCGGCUUACCAACCCGAUGCAAACUGCGAAUACCGGAGAAUGUUAUCACGGGAGACACACGGCGGGUGCUAACGUCCGUCGUGAAGAGGGAAACAACCCAGACCGCCAGCUAAGGUCCCAAAGUCAUGGUUAAGUGGGAAACGAUGUGGGAAGGCCCAGACAGCCAGGAUGUUGGCUUAGAAGCAGCCAUCAUUUAAAGAAAGCGUAAUAGCUCACUGGUCGAGUCGGCCUGCGCGGAAGAUGUAACGGGGCUAAACCAUGCACCGAAGCUGCGGCAGCGACACUCAGGUGUUGUUGGGUAGGGGAGCGUUCUGUAAGCCUGUGAAGGUGUGCUGUGAGGCAUGCUGGAGGUAUCAGAAGUGCGAAUGCUGACAUAAGUAACGAUAAAGCGGGUGAAAAGCCCGCUCGCCGGAAGACCAAGGGUUCCUGUCCAACGUUAAUCGGGGCAGGGUGAGUCGACCCCUAAGGCGAGGCCGAAAGGCGUAGUCGAUGGGAAACGGGUUAAUAUUCCCGUACUUGGUGUUACUGCGAAGGGGGGACGGAGAAGGCUAUGUUGGCCGGGCGACGGUUGUCCCGGUUUAAGCGUGUAGGUGUGUGUUCCAGGUAAAUCCGGUUCACUUUAACACUGAGGCGUGACGACGAGGCACUACGGUGCUGAAGCAACAAAUGCCCUGCUUCCAGGAAAAGCCUCUAAGCAUCAGGUAACAUCAAAUCGUACCCCAAACCGACACAGGUGGUCAGGUAGAGAAUACCAAGGCGCUUGAGAGAACUCGGGUGAAGGAACUAGGCAAAAUGGUGCCGUAACUUCGGGAGAAGGCACGCUGACACGUAGGUGAAGUGAUUUACUCAUGGAGCUGAAGUCAGUCGAAGAUACCAGCUGGCUGCAACUGUUUAUUAAAAACACAGCACUGUGCAAACACGAAAGUGGACGUAUACGGUGUGACGCCUGCCCGGUGCCGGAAGGUUAAUUGAUGGGGUCAGCGCAAGCGAAGCUCCUGAUCGAAGCCCCGGUAAACGGCGGCCGUAACUAUAACGGUCCUAAGGUAGCGAAAUUCCUUGUCGGGUAAGUUCCGACCUGCACGAAUGGCGUAAUGAUGGCCAGGCUGUCUCCACCCGAGACUCAGUGAAAUUGAACUCGCUGUGAAGAUGCAGUGUACCCGCGGCAAGACGGAAAGACCCCGUGAACCUUUACUAUAGCUUGACACUGAACAUUGAGCCUUGAUGUGUAGGAUAGGUGGGAGGCUUUGAAGUGUGGACGCCAGUCUGCAUGGAGCCGACCUUGAAAUACCACCCUUUAAUGUUUGAUGUUCUAACGUGGACCCGUAAUCCGGGUUGCGGACAGUGUCUGGUGGGUAGUUUGACUGGGGCGGUCUCCUCCUAAAGAGUAACGGAGGAGCACGAAGGUUGGCUAAUCCUGGUCGGACAUCAGGAGGUUAGUGCAAUGGCAUAAGCCAGCUUGACUGCGAGCGUGACGGCGCGAGCAGGUGCGAAAGCAGGUCAUAGUGAUCCGGUGGUUCUGAAUGGAAGGGCCAUCGCUCAACGGAUAAAAGGUACUCCGGGGAUAACAGGCUGAUACCGCCCAAGAGUUCAUAUCGACGGCGGUGUUUGGCACCUCGAUGUCGGCUCAUCACAUCCUGGGGCUGAAGUAGGUCCCAAGGGUAUGGCUGUUCGCCAUUUAAAGUGGUACGCGAGCUGGGUUUAGAACGUCGUGAGACAGUUCGGUCCCUAUCUGCCGUGGGCGCUGGAGAACUGAGGGGGGCUGCUCCUAGUACGAGAGGACCGGAGUGGACGCAUCACUGGUGUUCGGGUUGUCAUGCCAAUGGCACUGCCCGGUAGCUAAAUGCGGAAGAGAUAAGUGCUGAAAGCAUCUAAGCACGAAACUUGCCCCGAGAUGAGUUCUCCCUGAGACUUUAGGUCUCCUGAAGGAACGUUGAAGACGACGACGUUGAUAGGCCGGGUGUGUAAGCGCAGCGAUGCGUUGAGCUAACCGGUACUAAUGAACCGUGAGGCUUAACCUUACAACGCCGAAG